GACGAACGCUGGCGGCACGCUUAACACAUGCAAGUCGAACGAGAGAAGAGAAGCUUGCUUUUCUGAUCUAGUGGCGGACGGGUGAGUAACACGUGAGCAAUCUGCCUUUCAGAGGGGGAUACCGAUUGGAAACGAUCGUUAAUACCGCAUAAUAUAAUUGAACCGCAUGAUUUGAUUAUCAAAGAUUUAUCGCUGAAAGAUGAGCUCGCGUCUGAUUAGCUAGUUGGUAAGGUAACGGCUUACCAAGGCGACGAUCAGUAGCCGGACUGAGAGGUUGAUCGGCCACAUUGGGACUGAGACACGGCCCAGACUCCUACGGGAGGCAGCAGUGGGGAAUAUUGCACAAUGGAGGAAACUCUGAUGCAGCGAUGCCGCGUGAGGGAAGAAGGUUUUAGGAUUGUAAACCUCUGUCUUCAGGGACGAAAAAAGACGGUACCUGAGGAGGAAGCUCCGGCUAACUACGUGCCAGCAGCCGCGGUAAUACGUAGGGAGCGAGCGUUGUCCGGAAUUACUGGGUGUAAAGGGAGCGUAGGCGGGAUCGCAAGUCAGAUGUGAAAACUACGGGCUUAACCCAUAAACUGCAUUUGAAACUGUGGUUCUUGAGUGAAGUAGAGGUAAGCGGAAUUCCUAGUGUAGCGGUGAAAUGCGUAGAUAUUAGGAGGAACAUCAGUGGCGAAGGCGGCUUACUGGGCUUUAACUGACGCUGAGGCUCGAAAGCGUGGGGAGCAAACAGGAUUAGAUACCCUGGUAGUCCACGCCGUAAACGAUGAUUACUAGGUGUGGGGGGACUGACCCCUUCCGUGCCGCAGCAAACGCAAUAAGUAAUCCACCUGGGGAGUACGACCGCAAGGUUGAAACUCAAAGGAAUUGACGGGGGCCCGCACAAGCAGUGGAGUAUGUGGAUUAAUUCGAAGCAACGCGAAGAACCUUACCAGGUCUUGACAUCGUAUGCAUAGCUCAGAGAUGAGUGAAAUCUCUUCGGAGACAUAUAGACAGGUGGUGCAUGGUUGUCGUCAGCUCGUGUCGUGAGAUGUUGGGUUAAGUCCCGCAACGAGCGCAACCCUUACUGUUAGUUGCUACGCAAGAGCACUCUAGCAGGACUGCCGUUGACAAAACGGAGGAAGGUGGGGAUGACGUCAAAUCAUCAUGCCCCUUAUGACCUGGGCCUCACACGUACUACAAUGGCUGUCAACAGAGGGAAGCAAAGCCGCGAGGUGGAGCGAACCCCUAAAAGCAGUCUUAGUUCGGAUUGUAGGCUGCAACCCGCCUACAUGAAGUCGGAAUUGCUAGUAAUCGCAGAUCAGCAUGCUGCGGUGAAUACGUUCCCGGGCCUUGUACACACCGCCCGUCACGCCAUGGGAGUCGGUAACACCCGAAGCCUGUAGUCUAACCGCAAGGAGGACGCAGUCGAAGGUGGGAUUGAUGACUGGGGUG
Molecule: ribosomal RNA, 1434 nt
Filed under: uncultured bacterium
Lineage: Bacteria
Description: bacterial SSU rRNA
Rfam family: Bacterial small subunit ribosomal RNA
Source: RNAcentral